AGGGGUGUGGCUCAGAGGUAGAGCACUCACCUAGCAUGCGUGAGGCACUGGGUUCAAUCCUCAGCACCACAU
This 72-nucleotide transfer RNA is filed under the name Marmota monax (woodchuck). It matches the Rfam family "tRNA". From Rfam's summary of the family: Transfer RNA (tRNA) molecules are approximately 80 nucleotides in length. Their secondary structure includes four short double-helical elements and three loops (D, anti-codon, and T loops). Lineage: Eukaryota; Metazoa; Chordata; Mammalia; Rodentia; Sciuridae. The record is from Rfam by way of RNAcentral.